AAACUAACAAGGAUUCCCCUAGUAACGGCGAGUGAAGCGGGAAGAGCUCAAAUUUGAAAUCUGGUAGCCUUCGGUUGCCCGAGUUGUAAUCUAGAGAAAUGUUUUCCGUGCCGGCCCAUGUACAAGUCCCUUGGAACAGGGCGUCAUAGAGGGUGAGAAUCCCGUCCUUGACAUGGACCCCCGGUGCUUUGUGAUACAUUUUCAACGAGUCGAGUUGUUUGGGAAUGCAGCUCAAAAUGGGUGGUGAAUUCCAUCUAAAGCUAAAUAUUGGCGAGAGACCGAUAGCGAACAAGUACCGUGAGGGAAAGAUGAAAAGCACUUUGGAAAGAGAGUUAAACAGUACGUGAAAUUGUUGAAAGGGAAACGAUUGAAGUCAGUCAUGCUCUUUGGUAUUUAUAUCAUUGAGUGGGGUCAACAUCAGUUUUGAUCGAUGGAUAAAGGCACUAGGAAGGUAGCACUCUCGGGUGAACUUAUAGCCUAGCGUCAUAUACAUUGAUUGGGACUGAGGAACGCAGCAUGCCUUUAUGGCCGGGAUUCGUCCACGUACAUGCUUAGGAUGUUGACA
This 565-nucleotide ribosomal RNA is filed under the name Naganishia albidosimilis. RNAcentral's name for it is "eukaryotic LSU rRNA". It matches the Rfam family "Eukaryotic large subunit ribosomal RNA", at positions 62 to 631 of the family's 3401-position model. Lineage: Eukaryota; Fungi; Basidiomycota; Tremellomycetes; Filobasidiales; Filobasidiaceae. The record is from RNAcentral.